This 427-nucleotide ribosomal RNA is filed under the name uncultured bacterium. RNAcentral's name for it is "partial 16S ribosomal RNA". It matches the Rfam family "Bacterial small subunit ribosomal RNA", at positions 355 to 774 of the family's 1533-position model. The record is from RNAcentral.
UGGGGAAUAUUGCACAAUGGGCGCAAGCCUGAUGCAGCCAUGCCGCGUGUAUGAAGAAGGCCUUCGGGUUGUAAAGUACUUUCAGCGGGGAGGAAGGCGAUAAGGUUAAUAACCUUGUCGAUUGACGUUACCCGCAGAAGAAGCACCGGCUAACUCCGUGCCAGCAGCCGCGGUAAUACGGAGGGUGCAAGCGUUAAUCGGAAUUACUGGGCGUAAAGCGCACGCAGGCGGUCUGUCAAGUCGGAUGUGAAAUCCCCGGGCUCAACCUGGGAACUGCAUUCGAAACUGGCAGGCUAGAGUCUUGUAGAGGGGGGUAGAAUUCCAGGUGUAGCGGUGAAAUGCGUAGAGAUCUGGAGAAAUACCGGUGGCGAAGGCGGCCCCCUGGACAAAGACUGACGCUCAGGUGCGAAAGCGUGGGGAGCAAACA